UUCAUUCAUCACUGGCCAAAUUGGCUAGAAACUUUACAAGCUUUCACGCUAAAGUUAUUUUAACCCGCAUUUGGCGGGUUGGCAGGUGUCCAUUUAAAGCCCUGGCCAAAACAAAUGAUUCU
Etheostoma cragini (Arkansas darter) is the source of this 122-nucleotide long non-coding RNA. RefSeq lists it as uncharacterized. The transcript has 3 exons. The record is from RefSeq and is a predicted model, not a curated record. Lineage: Eukaryota; Metazoa; Chordata; Actinopteri; Perciformes; Percidae.